UACAGGGGGGGCAAGCGUUGUUCGGAAUUACUGGGCGUAAAGAGCGCGCAGGCGGUCGAUCAAGUCGAGUGUGAAAGCCCCCGGCUCAACUGGGGAGGGUCAUUCGAUACUGAUCGACUCGAAGGCAGGAGAGGGUAGUGGAAUUCCCGGUGUAGUGGUGAAAUGCGUAGAUAUCGGGAGGAACACCAGUGGCGAAGGCGACUACCUGGCCUGUUCUUGACGCUGAGGCGCGAAAGCUAGGGGAGCAAACGGG
RNAcentral lists this ribosomal RNA (253 nucleotides) under uncultured bacterium. Its description in RNAcentral is "partial 16S ribosomal RNA". It matches the Rfam family "Bacterial small subunit ribosomal RNA", at positions 524 to 776 of the family's 1533-position model. The record is from RNAcentral.